Molecule: unclassified non-coding RNA, 292 nt
Filed under: Hevea brasiliensis (rubber tree)
Lineage: Eukaryota; Viridiplantae; Streptophyta; Magnoliopsida; Malpighiales; Euphorbiaceae
Source: RNAcentral
CUUGCAUGGGAGAAGUUUUCUGUUUUCACUCAGAACAGAUGUCAUGAGGAGCUAGAGAAGUUCAGGGAACCUGGAUUAGUUGCAAAGAAGAAGGCAUACUUUGAAGAAUAUUAUAGCAAGAUCAGAGCUAUGAGGGCAUUGAAAGCAAAGCAGCAAGAAAAAACUCAGACUGGUAUUUUUCAAGAAGGACUGUGCAACGCAACAAAAGAAGAAAACAAUAUGGAGGCUGAUGCAUUGAGUGAGGAAAACAUGCCUGACAAUGCCAAUAAAAUUCAGGUCCAAGACAAUGAUA